Molecule: long non-coding RNA, 285 nt
Organism: Perca fluviatilis (European perch)
Lineage: Eukaryota; Metazoa; Chordata; Actinopteri; Perciformes; Percidae
Exons: 3
Source: RefSeq, a predicted model, not a curated record
GCCAAUCAGUUCCUUUUAUCCAUCAACGCAGAUAGCAUUGGUGGAUCUGCAGAAGUUGAUGAACUUCACAAUGUAGAGGAAACUGAAGUGGAAAACUCUGAAUCUUCCUCUUCAUCCAGUGACAGGAGGAAGAGGAAGAAGAAGACCAAGAGGAAGAGCAUAGGAUAAAGGGGGACAGAUUGGCAAAAGAAGACAUGCUGAGAUGCAGCAGUUGAUGGAGAGACUUCUUACCAAACUGCAAUCUGCCAUAAACCAGCAACCGCUAAAUUUGGAUUAUUUGGAGUU